RNAcentral lists this ribosomal RNA (533 nucleotides) under bacterium fme09x28p237. RNAcentral's name for it is "bacterial SSU rRNA". It matches the Rfam family "Bacterial small subunit ribosomal RNA", at positions 48 to 562 of the family's 1533-position model. The record is from RNAcentral.
GCUAUACAUGCAGUCGAGCGAAUGACGAAGAAGCUUGCUUCUUCUGAUUUAGCGGCGGACGGGUGAGUAACACGUGGGCAACCUGCCCUGUAGAUUGGGAUAACUCCGGGAAACCGGGGCUAAUACCGAAUAAUCCAUUUCCUCACAUGGGGAGAUGUUAAAAGACGGCAUCUCGCUGUCACUACAGGAUGGGCCCGCGGCGCAUUAGCUAGUUGGUGAGGUAACGGCUCACCAAGGCGACGAUGCGUAGCCGACCUGAGAGGGUGAUCGGCCACACUGGGACUGAGACACGGCCCAGACUCCUACGGGAGGCAGCAGUAGGGAAUCUUCCACAAUGGACGAAAGUCUGAUGGAGCAAUGCCGCGUGAGUGAAGAAGGUUUUCGGAUCGUAAAACUCUGUUGUGAGGGAAGAACAAGUACGAGAGUAACUGCUCGUACCUUGACGGUACCUCAUUAGAAAGCCACGGCUAACUACGUGCCANCAGCCGCGGUAAUACGUAGGUGGCAAGCGUUGUCCGGAAUUAUUGGGCGUA